AAGUCAAUUCUCCUGAAUUUUAUAAAAAUGUUACCUUCAUCUGGCCUAAACUCGAAUGGCUCCUUCCCAGCAUAGUGAAGUUUGAGGAUCAAAGUGACGCUUCUCAAAGCUUGAGAACCAAAAGUUCAAUAUAGCUAUUACUUUGUGAUCAUAUAGCAAAUUAUUACCAUCUAUAUGAUUCUUUUUUAAGAGUCUGUGAUGGUUAUAUUGUUGUUCCUCCUUUACUG
Molecule: long non-coding RNA, 227 nt
Filed under: Ananas comosus (pineapple)
Lineage: Eukaryota; Viridiplantae; Streptophyta; Magnoliopsida; Poales; Bromeliaceae
Description: long non-coding RNA (ACOM_LNC004902)
Source: RNAcentral